This is a long non-coding RNA of Oncorhynchus nerka (sockeye salmon), 1865 nucleotides long. RefSeq lists it as uncharacterized. Lineage: Eukaryota; Metazoa; Chordata; Actinopteri; Salmoniformes; Salmonidae. The transcript has 3 exons. The record is from RefSeq and is a predicted model, not a curated record.
GGUUACAUUAUUUACAUAUCAUGAUGUUUUGAUAAGAAUGUUGUGACAUGGAAUGUGGGGUUUGUUGUCACUAUCAGCUCCAUUAUAACCAUAUCGUUCUGGAACAUUGCCACGGCCAGUAUAUAAUGAAUCCUGUAUAGGGAAAACUUUGGAAAAAACAGCUGUACUUUAUUUAUUUAUUUACUUUAUUUAAGGGAACAUUUUAUAUUUUAGUUUUACAAAAUAUGCAAAUGAACUGUCAUUUUGCUAAAAUAACACUUUUUUUAUUUGAUUUUUAGAUAACAUUAUUUAUAUCUAAUGAUGUGUUCAUAUUUUUUUGAUAAAAUGUUUUCAUUAGAAUGUUGUCACAUGGAGGUUUGUUGUCACUAUCAACUACAUUAUAACCAUAUCUUUCCAUAACAUUACAACUGUCAGAAUACAGUGAAUCCCUAUUUUGGGAAAAUGAUACAAUUUGGGAAGUAGACAAAUGUCUCCCCAUGUUCCUAAUAAUCAGUGUUAUGGUGGCUCUGUCACUAGCCCACUACUCUGAUAGAACAAAUAUAGCCUUUGAGGACUAUGCUGUGCUGUCAUGUACACUUCAAACACUCAAGAUUAGCCUUCCUACGUGAGUGGUGCACGUACCCACUAUGAACCCUCCUGCAUAGAAAUGCAAUGUAGUUGUGUUGCCCUCUGGUGGUUGAGUUAAGUAUGUGCGGUGGAGGAGCAGAGUUUAAUUGAGUGAAUGAGUUGAGUCUUAGUUGUGUAUCCUACUCUAUGUAAUAGAGGAGAUUGUGUGAAAGGGCAGAGGAUUUGGAUGAGGUUUGUCCUCCAUGUUAAUGCUGGAUCUAACUUUCCUUUCCUUAGAUUGUUCUUGUUGUUUCUUCAUAUUAUUCUAAUAAUUAUUUUCACCGAAUUUGUUUUAUUUCUGAUCCUGUAUCUGUGUAGUCAUGCUAUUAUUUCAUAUUAUGGAUAUUUAUGAUUAUUUAUAAACGUUUUUCUUCUUAUUUAAUUUUGUACUAUCAGAUAUACACAUUUAAAUGAGAACACUUAAAGUAGCCACCCUUUGCCAGCUUUGCACACUCUUGACAUUCUCUCAACCAGCUUCACCUGGAAUGCUUUUCCAACAGUCUUGAAGGAGUUCCCACAUAUGCUGAGCACUUGUUGGCUGCUUUUCCUUUACUCUGCAGUCCAACUCAUCCCAAACCAUCUCAAUUGGGUUGAGGUUGGGUGAUUGUGAAGACCUGGUCAUCUGAUGGAGCACUCCAUUACUCUCCAUGGUCAAAUAGCCCUUACACAGCCUGGAGGUGUGUUUUGGGUCAUUGUCCUGUUGAAAAACAAAAUGGUAGCCCCACUAAGUGUAAAACAGAUGGGAUGGCGUAUCGCUGCAGAAUGCUGUGGUAGUGUAACGGAUGUCAUCUGGAGAAAGAGAGGAGGACCAAAGCGGAGCGUGGUCAUAGAGAAGAGAUACUUCACAAGAGUCCCAAGUCAAGUUUCACAGAGAGGAAACCCUUUGACUUCAGAAGCCCCCACUCUGACUGAGAGGAACAACACAGGUCUCUGUGGUUUCAGCAUCAUGCCUCUGUGCAGUCUCUCACUCAACAGGUCAACAUCCCUUUAUUUCUCUCUCUCAAUGAAAUUUCUGUGUAAAUACUUGACCAGUUAAUUGUUUUUGACUGCAAUUGAGUGGGCCCCUAAAUAGUGGAAGACAUCCUGGGUAUGCUUGGGGAAAUUUUGGUUCAAAUGCACACAGCAUAGUUAUAGGAAUUUAUAUAUCAAAUAUGUUGUUUUUUUAAAAAAAUACUUUCAACAAAUGUAAUUCAUGUCAUUGUUAUCUUAAAUAUUUGUUUGCUAUGUUAGCAAAUGGAUUGUAUGUUUUUUUUUGUGAA